CAACCUAUUUAAUGAUAAAUAGCUGAACCGUCAGAAGUCAGCAGAAGUCAUAAUACCACCUGAUCUCGAGAAAGGUGAGAAGGAC
RNAcentral lists this non-coding RNA (85 nucleotides) under Rossellomorea aquimaris. The record is from RNAcentral. Lineage: Bacteria; Bacillati; Bacillota; Bacilli; Caryophanales; Bacillaceae.